This 509-nucleotide ribosomal RNA is filed under the name uncultured Desulfobulbus sp. RNAcentral's name for it is "bacterial SSU rRNA". It matches the Rfam family "Bacterial small subunit ribosomal RNA", at positions 903 to 1382 of the family's 1533-position model. The record is from RNAcentral. Lineage: Bacteria; Pseudomonadati; Thermodesulfobacteriota; Desulfobulbia; Desulfobulbales; Desulfobulbaceae.
CGCCUUGCCAGCCCGCUCAGAACUUAAAGGAAUUGACGGGGCCCGCACAAGCGGUGGAGUAUGUGGUUUAAUUCGAUGCAACGCGAAGAACCUUACCUGGUCUUGACAUCCCGGAGACCCUUAGGAAACUAGGGGGUGCUUCCAUCUGGAAGAAUCUGGAGACAGGUGCUGCAUGGCUGUCGUCAGCUCGUGUCGUGAGAUGUUGGGUUAAGUCCCGCAACGAGCGCAACCCUUGCCUUUAGUUGCCAGCAGUUCGGCUGGGCACUCUAAAGGGACUGCCGGUGUUAAACCGGAGGAAGGUGGGGAUGACGUCAAGUCCUCAUGGCCUUUAUGACCAGGGCUACACACGUACUACAAUGGCCGAUACAAGGGGCAGCGACACUGCGAGGUGAAGCCAAUCCCGUAAAAUCGGUCUCAGUCCGGAUUGGAGUCUGCAACUCGACUCCAUGAAGUUGGAAUCGCUAGUAAUCGUGGAUCAGCAUGCCACGGUGAAUACGUUCCCGGGCCUU